Molecule: long non-coding RNA, 1321 nt
Filed under: Marmota monax (woodchuck)
Lineage: Eukaryota; Metazoa; Chordata; Mammalia; Rodentia; Sciuridae
Source: RNAcentral
GUCGGCGUACUGUGGGGCUAGAAGCCCAACCGCAGCGCAGGCAGAGACCCGGUUGACUACGCUUGUAUCUGGAACCUGCCAGAGGCGCGGAACGUGGCUGCUCCAAAGGAGCCCCCGCCGUCGGAGGAAGCAGAGGACCCAAAGAAGGUGAGGCCCAGGACCCAGCCACCAGUGGAAGACUGGGCCAGAGACUGAGAGCCCCGGACUCCCUGGAAAACGUCCUGAUCUUGAUCUAAAGAUUAUCAUCACCGAAACAAAACACGGGCUCCAGAAACCUCACGAAAAGUUCAGUACAGGCCCCCCUCCUCACUCUUGCCCUCCACACCACUGUCUUAGGAAACCUUACAGGUGCCUAGGUCCCUUCUUCCCUACACAUGACGUCCGGGGCACUAGCUCAGAGCCGUGACCAGGAGUAGGCACCAGUGCUGGAAGGCGCCAGAAUCUGCAAGACCCUCCCCCUCUCAGGCGGGCUGACCUUCAGAGUAGCAUCCUCAGGGGUGGCUUCUGUGACUGUCUUCUGGGUCUACCAGGAUUCUCGAGGGACCAAGAUCAUCUAUCUUUGUGGUCAGGAAGCUGCUGAGGAGCCAUAUCUGUCCCACUAUGUGUUUCCACCUCCCAGGCUGGGAGGGAGACAUGGAGCCAUCUCAGAAAUAUCAAUAAGAGGGCAUCAGUAGCCUGAGCUAUCCGGAUCACUUAUCGCAGAACAGCUCUGGAAUAUGGCUUUGUGGAUUUAGCCCACCUAGCUGUCCGGGUCACUGCUGCUUCUCAUUUUAAGCCCUCAUCCUGGGUAUAACACACACAUACACGUGCAAAUGUAUUAUCAAAAGCAGAGGGUUGGGUGCUCUUACUUUCCAUCUAAGGCCUAUAAUGUAAGUGAGCCCUAGACUGCUCCAGGUGGGAGGAGCCUCUGCCUAAAACUGCACCUGACAUAGAUAGGCACCCAACCCAUGUUAGUAGGAAUAUAGGAAUGCAAGACAAGAAAGAGACCAAACUUCCUAGCACCCUGACACCUGCAGAGACAACCCCCCACCCCUUCCCCAUCCUUUUGCUUCUAGCUCAAGCCCUUGAGAGCAUUGUCUCUCUUGAAUUCCAUAAGUCCUUUAGAAUUUAGUCUCUCAGUGUAAGGAACUAUUAAUAUGUGAGGGAGCCUCAGGAAUUAUUUUAAUGGCCAUCCAUAAGGUCCUGCAUCACAGCUGACCUCUCACAAGAAGGUUCUAAUGAGGUCACUAGGGAAAAGAAAGGCAAAGGACUGGCCUGUGACUGGAAAGCAGAUGGCCCUGUGGUAGGGAAGGCUGCAGCUCUUUGAUGAGCUCUCUGCUGG